GACGAACGCUGGCGGCGUGCUUAACACAUGCAAGUCGAACGGUGAACCGGGCUUCGGCCCGGGGAUCAGUGGCGAACGGGUGCGUAACACGUGGGCAACCUGCCCCAGACACUGGGAUAACCCCGGGAAACCGGGGCUAAUACCGGAUACUCCGAUCGGAUCGCAUGACCCGAUCGGGAAAGCUCCGACGGUCUGGGAUGGGCCCGCGGCCUAUCAGCUCGUUGGUGGGGUCAUGGCCCACCAAGGCGACGACGGGUAGCUGGUCUGAGAGGACGACCAGCCACACUGGAACUGAGAUACGGUCCAGACUCCUACGGGAGGCAGCAGUGGGGAAUCUUGCACAAUGGGCGAAAGCCUGAUGCAGCGACGCCGCGUGGGGGACGAAGGCCCUCGGGUUGUAAACCCCUUUCGGCAGGGAAGAAGCGCAAGUGACGGUACCUGCAGAAGAAGCUCCGGCUAACUACGUGCCAGCCGCCGCCGUAACAC
RNAcentral lists this ribosomal RNA (486 nucleotides) under uncultured bacterium. RNAcentral describes it as "bacterial SSU rRNA". It matches the Rfam family "Bacterial small subunit ribosomal RNA", at positions 28 to 526 of the family's 1533-position model. The record is from RNAcentral.